This 514-nucleotide long non-coding RNA is filed under the name Ananas comosus (pineapple). RNAcentral describes it as "long non-coding RNA (ACOM_LNC014202)". Lineage: Eukaryota; Viridiplantae; Streptophyta; Magnoliopsida; Poales; Bromeliaceae. The record is from RNAcentral.
UAUAUAUAGAGAGAGAGAGAGAGAGAGAGAGAAUUAGGCUACUAUACUAUCUAUAGUACCGAGCUCCGGUACUAUAGUGUUUGUUUUCGAUCUUAGGGCGUUCAAAUCAAUGAUCCACACCGUUAAAUAUGAUCUAGGGUAUAUGAAUUUAUUAGGAAUAAAAUUUUAGUUUUUUUCGAUAUCGUUUACUUAGUAAAUAAAUUAUAUCAAAAUGGACGGUGGAAAUUGAAUAAUCUUUAAAAUUUGAGCAUAGGACUUUUAAAUUUAAGGUCAAGAAUGUUAACCUUAAUCUAUAUAGUUUAAAGUAUUUUCUAUCAAAAUUUGAAGAAAUUUAGAUUCUUCUACACCGUUAAACUCCAAACUCGUCAUAAUAGCCAUUGAAAAUUGACAAUUUUGAAAUAGUUUGAUCAUAAAGUAAACUAUGUCGAAAAAAUAUAAAAUUUUAUUUCUAAAACUUUAAAUACCCUAGAUCAGUUUUAAUAGUGUGGAUCGUUGAUUUGAACGCCCUAAGAUC